Non-coding RNA from Stegodyphus mimosarum, 73 nucleotides. Lineage: Eukaryota; Metazoa; Arthropoda; Arachnida; Araneae; Eresidae. The record is from Rfam.
GCCUUCGUGGUGUAGCGGUCAGUACACUCGAUGCGUAACCGAGAGGUCCGUGGUUCGAUUCCCGGCGAAAGCG